UUGGUUUUUCACUUACUCACAAAAUAUUUGUGUAUGGUUGUUAGAAACAUAAAAAAAAAUGUAUAAAUUUACAUUUUGUUUCACAAAAUUGAUAUUUACUAUAAAUAAUACCAUUUAGGGUCGCAGUUCCCAAUUGUCGAUGAAUAUCAGUCCUGUUUGAAGAGGAAUGAUGUACUGUUUGCAAACUAAAACUUAUAGUGUAUUUGAUUAUCAAUUCUUUUUAAUAAGAUAAAUCACUGGUAUUUAAUAUUGAUUUUACGAUUUUUUUUCAAACUAUUUAAAUGGAGCAUGUCUGAUAAGAAAUAUACCUUAAACAUAAAUGAAAAGA
Molecule: long non-coding RNA, 328 nt
Filed under: Mytilus galloprovincialis (Mediterranean mussel)
Lineage: Eukaryota; Metazoa; Mollusca; Bivalvia; Mytilida; Mytilidae
Source: RNAcentral